Molecule: ribosomal RNA, 274 nt
Filed under: uncultured Acidobacteriota bacterium
Lineage: Bacteria; Pseudomonadati; Acidobacteriota
Description: uncultured Acidobacteria bacterium partial 16S ribosomal RNA
Rfam family: Bacterial small subunit ribosomal RNA
Source: RNAcentral
CAGCAGCCGCGGUAAUACAGGGGGGGCAAGCGUUGUUCGGAAUUACUGGGCGUAAAGGGCUCGUAGGUGGCCAACUAAGUCAGACGUGAAAUCCCUCAGCUUAACUGGGGAACUGCGUCUGAUACUGGAUGGCUUGAGUUUGGGAGAGGGAUGCGGAAUUCCAGGUGUAGCGGUGAAAUGCGUAGAUAUCUGGAGGAACACCGGUGGCGAAGGCGGCAUCCUGGACCAACACUGACACUGAGGAGCGAAAGCCAGGGGAGCAAACGGGAUUAGA